AUACGGAGGGUGCAAGCGUUAAUCGGAAUUACUGGGCGUAAAGCGUACGUAGGCGGUCCGUUAAGUUAGAUGUGAAAGCCCCGGGCUUAACCUGGGAACUGCAUUUAAAACUGGCGGACUCGAGUUGAGUAGAGGGGAGUGGAAUUUCAGGUGUAGCGGUGAAAUGCGUAGAGAUCUGAAGGAACACCAGUGGCGAAGGCGACUCCCUGGACUCGAACUGACGCUGAGGUACGAAAGCGUGGGUAGCAAACGGGAUUAGAAACCCGGGUAGUCC
Molecule: ribosomal RNA, 274 nt
Filed under: uncultured bacterium
Lineage: Bacteria
Description: partial 16S ribosomal RNA
Rfam family: Bacterial small subunit ribosomal RNA
Source: RNAcentral